AAUCCGGUUGAUCCUGCCGGACCUGACUGCUAUCGGAUUGAUACUAAGCCAUGCGAGUCAUUGUAGUAAUACAAGGCAGACGGCUCAGUAACGCGUAGUCAACCUAACCUAUGGACGGGAAUAACCUCGGGAAACUGAGAAUAAUGCCCGAUAGAACACUAUAUCUGGAAUGGUUUGUGUUCCAAAUGAUUUAUCGCCGUAGGAUGGGACUGCGGCCUAUCAGUUUGUUGGUGAGGUAAUGGCCCACCAAGACUAUUACAGGUACGGGCUCUGAGAGGAGUAGCCCGGAGA
Molecule: ribosomal RNA, 291 nt
Filed under: Candidatus Nitrosopumilus sp.
Lineage: Archaea; Thermoproteati; Nitrososphaerota; Nitrososphaeria; Nitrosopumilales; Nitrosopumilaceae
Description: Nitrosopumilus sp. partial 16S ribosomal RNA
Rfam family: Archaeal small subunit ribosomal RNA
Source: RNAcentral